RNAcentral lists this ribosomal RNA (467 nucleotides) under uncultured bacterium. RNAcentral describes it as "partial 16S ribosomal RNA". It matches the Rfam family "Bacterial small subunit ribosomal RNA", at positions 28 to 507 of the family's 1533-position model. The record is from RNAcentral.
GAUGAACGCUGACAGAAUGCUUAACACAUGCAAGUCAACUUGAAUUUGGGUUUUUAACUUAGGUUUGGGUGGCGGACGGGUGAGUAACGCGUAAAGAACUUGCCUCACAGCUAGGGACAACAUUUGGAAACGAAUGCUAAUACCUAAUAUUAUGAUAAUAGGGCAUCCUAUAAUUAUGAAAGCUAUAAGCGCUGUGAGAGAGCUUUGCGUCCCAUUAGCUAGUUGGAGAGGUAACGGCUCACCAAGGCGAUGAUGGGUAGCCGGCCUGAGAGGGUGAUCGGCCACAAGGGGACUGAGACACGGCCCUUACUCCUACGGGAGGCAGCAGUGGGGAAUAUUGGACAAUGGACCGAGAGUCUGAUCCGGCAAUUCUGUGUGCACGAUGAAGUUUUUCGGAAUGUAAAGUGCUUUCAGUUGGGAAGAAACAAAUGACGGUACCAACAGAAGAAGUGACGGCUAAAUACGUG